RNAcentral lists this ribosomal RNA (3642 nucleotides) under Triticum aestivum (bread wheat). Its description in RNAcentral is "partial small subunit ribosomal RNA". The record is from RNAcentral. Lineage: Eukaryota; Viridiplantae; Streptophyta; Magnoliopsida; Poales; Poaceae.
GGUCUUUCUACAGCAUCCCAUACUCUUCCUUCGCGAGAAAGGGGGGACGGGGACGGGCUGAAGGGCCACCGCCCGCGCCGCCGGUCAGCUGCCACCACCGUCACCUCCGAGCGAAGUGUCGCGCGGGCGCGCUGUAGCCGCGCGGCGGACGGGAAGCGCCGUCUCCGUCGAGUUUAUUAGCUGGCGAGGUUACCGCUGGCCGCUGCAGCUUGCCGCCGCCGCCAGCCGUGCACCUGCCUGCCGCGUGCGCCCCCGGCUGCCGCUGGACACAGCUGGGCACGCGCCGCAGCAAGGUCACCGCGGCCGACAGGGCAAUUCCCCUCUCAAGGAGGAAAGCACAUAUGUGAGUCAGAUUCUUCUUGUUAAAUGUGAACCAGGGACAUGCAGAUGGAUGACGUCAUUGACCUUGUGUCAGAAGACGAUAUUGCUUCCUAUGAGGAGACAAGUUCUGAAGAUACUGAGGAUGUGAAAGUCUGUGACGUAUGUGGAAAUGUUGGUGAGGAGAAGAAGCUCGCUGUUUGCAGCAGAUGCAAUGAUGGUGCUGUGCAUAUUUACUGUAUGUUGGUAAUGCUUAAAGAGGUUCCAGAGCGCGGGUGGUUGUGUGAUGAGUGCCAAGCUGAGGUAGAAAUUGAAAUUGAAAAGAAGAAACUUGAGAAAUCUCAAGUAAAUUUUGUCAUGGUUUCCAUGGAGAAUAAAGUGGAUGCUGAAAAGGUGAAAGUAUGUGACAUUUGUGGAGAUGUUGGUGAAGUGGAGAAGCUCACUGUUUGUGGUAGAUGCAAUGGUGCUGAGCAUGUUUAUUGUAUGCAGGUGAUGAUGGAAAAGGUUCCAGAUGUCAUGUGGUUGUGUGAAGCAUGUCAAACUGAGGUAGAAUUUGCAGAGGAAAGGACGGAACUAGAAAAAUCCCAAGUAAUGGUUGGUGCAUGUAAACUAGAUUCCUUUGGAGGGCAAACGAAUAAACCUGUGGAUGAUGCAAAUAGCGGAAGUAAUUUUGAGGAUGAAAUGGAGGCUGCAAAUGUGAGUAGUAAAAACAACAUGAGAAAUCAAUCCAUCGGUAUGGCUACCAAGAGGAUAGGAGACGAUGCAACAAUUACGUUACUGAUUGGAAAAGAUCUUUGUGAAUCUGGUGGUGUAUCCAUGGAAGGUGACUCCGCAAAAAGAGCGCCGUUUUCGCGCAAAAAUUCACUCAAGCUGAACACAGAGAAAGGAAAGGAACCUGUUAGGCCAAUGCCAACGCCAUUGACAUUGAAUGCUCUGAAGAAUCAGGCACCACCUCUUUGUGGUCCACUCCCGAAGUCCAUUUCUUUCAAGAACUCAAAGGUCCCGAAGGUGAAACAACUGGUCAUUGAAGUUCCUCAAAAGCCCAAAAAUCUGAAGGAACCUAUAUCCUUAAUUACAAAACAAGACGGGCCAGUGAUCACACUUGCUAAGUCGACAUCAGUCAAAAAGCCAAACUCUAGCGAGCCAGUAAGUAAAGGAAAGUCUUCCAUCUUACUAGAUGUUGAGGAACCAAGAAUGAUGAAUUCAGUAAUGAGCCGAAAUGUAACGAAUAAGAGGGGCACUUCUAUAUCUGGAUAUCCCUCUGUUGCUGCAUCAAUGCUUGUGUCAGUUCCUUCGAAAGCAGAAUCCGCAGCUCAGCAUCUCAAUAAACAAAAUAAGAUGGAUAAUUUAGGCAUCGCUUAUGGAAAAGACGGUAGAAACUUUCCUGCACCUAGUGAACCAAAGAGACAGCUUGUAGCAAAAGUCCCGGGAAGCCUAACGUUAAUUAGUGCUGAGACAUCCUCAGGUCUGCUUUGUUCUGGUGCACAGAUGAAGGGAAUUCAAAUCCCAGAUACUUCACUGGUUGAUAAAAUAAAGAACCCACCUAGCUUGAAGCCAGGUACUUCUAGCAGCAGUUGCACAAUGCAUUGUCAACAAUGUGAUGAAGUGGGGCAUUCUACACAAUUUUGUCCUGUUGGCAGAUCUAGCUUGUUUGUAACAAAACCUUUGAGUGAGCAAACCAGUGACCGAACUGCCAGAUGCAAUAGAACAUCUGAAGCUACUACUUUGACUGCUACUGAAGACAUUUUGAAAUCAGCAUAUCAAUCUGAGCCAAGUCCAAAACGCCGCCGCUAUCAUAACCCAUCAUAUAAGCCUAUAAACGUUUUAUGUACCUCCAUUAGUCAUGAGGAAAGCAGUGAGCAGGAUGUGAGAAAUGGUAUGCCUACUCCUAGUACUACAGCUUCUGUCUAUUGUCACGAGCUAAAAUACAAAGAGCAUCAGGCUGUAUCUGCCAUGGGAGGAAGAUUUGUGGACAGCAGUUCAACUAUGUUGAAUGAUCCGACGGACAAAUCGCCAAUCUUUUCACCUAGUGAUGACAGAAUAACUUCUAGUGUUCCAGAGUUGGCUUACAUUUGGCAAGGUUGUUUUGAAAUAUGGAGGACUGGACGGCCAUCUAAGUUUUGUAAGGGCUUGCAAGGACACUUAUCAUGUUCUGCUUCACAAAAGGUUUUGGAAAUAGCAAAGAAAUUCCCUUCUAAAAUCCGGCUUGAGCAACUUCCUCGCCGGAAUAUAUUCCCCCCACAGUUCCAUGGAAAUGGCCUUUCGUAUGACAGUAUUGGUCUUUUUUUCUUUGCACAAGAUAUCCAGAGUUAUGAGAGGCAUUACAGUAAGUUAGUAGAAUGGAUGCUGAAAGGCGAUUUGGCACUCAGAGGAAACAUUGAAACAGCUGAAUUGCUCAUAUUUCCUUCCAAUAUCCUGCCAAAAAGCUUUCAAAGAUGGAACAUGUCCUAUUAUCUAUGGGGUGUAUUUAGAGUUAGAAGAAAAGACUCUAACCUUCCAUAUCAUGUACCCACAAGAAAACAUUGUAAUUUCAAUGGAAAUCUCUUGGCCGUGGGUCGAAGAACUCAUGCCCACGCUUCUUCUGGCCCCAGUUUCUAUUACUCACCUACUUGUGAAGACUCUCCAUCUAUCAUGCCCUUGGAAGCUAAUCAUGAGGGUUGCCCCAAUGGGCAAGAGAGGACAGCCGUCAACCAUGACAAUGCAGAGGACCUGUGGGGACCCGGUGUAGUUGACCUACAACGGCGACUGCAAUCAGUAUGUCGCUAAUUGAUAUCAUACGAACAUCCACACAGACCAAUCACGCACUUACAUUGCUGGGACCAGAUUGGUAUACAUGCAUAUAUAUAUAUACGUGUGUAUGAAGGAAUUCUUUGUGAAGUUUGGGUACGCUUAAUAUGAGCGCUGAGCGGAACAUGUUGCUUCUUCCCUUCUCGCCAACGAAAGCGGGAGCUCGCCUAGGCGGAGUGCGUAAGCCGUAAGUGGGUGUGUGCGUGCAUUGCAGCGGUGCUGGGCGGAAGAAAAGUGAUGGCCAGGCGAGGUGAGUGGCGAAGGGAGGGAGCAAAAUUGAGACAAAAAAAGAAGACAGGGAAAGGGUCUCAGGCUAGGGUUGGAAAACUUACCAGAUCAAGAGGGGUGAGGGUGGGACAGAAGAGAGCUUGGUUGGUGGCGACGAGCUCACCGCCGAGCAAGGACCCCCACUCUGUCGCGAGCUCCUCUUCCCCUGUUCGUUCCCUGUUUGAGUGAUUGGUGCUUUGCUGCUGCUUGGUUGUUGGCGUUCGAAUCACUUGUUUCACUAAUGUGAUGAGCCUUGACUGCAGUUUUUUU